UUGGCCGGCAGGGCAUUCAGUGACCUGUUUUCAUGUCGACUUGGGAGGUAAAAAAACCUCAUAAAGACCGCGUUUUUCUGUGUUUUAUUGAGUAACAUCGCUACUAUCCCAGUGAGCUACCAAUGUUAUAACCUCCAACACUGUCAGGCACAUGAACCAGAGUUCUGAACUUCUGAGUGGACCCAACGAAAUGCCGGUUUCCCUUCGAGACAAACAUGGGCCAGGUGGUUUUCCUCGCUGUGGUGGAUAACGCAACAAUGUCAACAUUACCUAGUGUCCAGAAUUCCAGA
RNAcentral lists this long non-coding RNA (290 nucleotides) under Strongylocentrotus purpuratus (purple sea urchin). RNAcentral describes it as "uncharacterized LOC115927372". Lineage: Eukaryota; Metazoa; Echinodermata; Echinoidea; Camarodonta; Strongylocentrotidae. The record is from RNAcentral.